UGGGGAAUAUUGCACAAUGGGCGGAAGCCUGAUGCAGCAACGCCGCGUGAGCGAUGAAGGCCUUUGGGUCGUAAAGCUCUGGUCCUUGGGGUAAGAAAAAAUGACGGUACCCUUGGAGGAAGCCCCGGCUAACUACGUGCCAGCAGCCGCGGUAAUACGUAGGGGGCAAGCGUUAUCCGGAAUUAUUGGGCGUAAAGAGUGCGUGGGUGGUCUUGUAAGCGCGGGGUGAAAGGCAAUAGCUCAACUAUUGUAAGCCCUGCGAACUGUGAGGCUUGAGUGCAGGAGAGGAAAGCGGAAUUCCUAGUGUAGCGGUGAAAUGCGUAGAUAUUAGGAGGAACACCAGUGGCGAAGGCGGCUUUCUGGACUGUAACUGACACUGAGGCACGAAAGCUGGGGAGC
Molecule: ribosomal RNA, 399 nt
Filed under: uncultured bacterium
Lineage: Bacteria
Description: bacterial SSU rRNA
Rfam family: Bacterial small subunit ribosomal RNA
Source: RNAcentral